ACCCGACUGCUAUCCGGAUGCGACUAAGCCAUGCUAGUCUAACGGAUCUUCGGAUCCGUGGCGUACCGCUCUGUAACACGUAGAUAACCUACCCUGAGGUCGGGGAAACUCCCGGGAAACUGGGCCUAAUCCCCGAUAGAUAAGUUGUACUAGAAUGUCUCUUUAUUGAAACCUCCGAGGCCUCAGGAUGGGUCUGCGCCAGAUUAUGGUCGUAGGUGGGGUAACGGCCCACCUAGCCUUUGAUCUGUACCGGACAUGAGAGUGUGUGCCGGGAGAUGGCCACUGAGACAAGGGGCCAGGCCCUACGGGGCGCAGCAGGCGCGAAAACUUCACAAUGCCCGAAAGGGUGAUGAGGAUAUCCGGAGUGCUUCCUUAGCCGGAAGCUUUUAUUCAGUGUAAAUAGCUAGAUGAAUAAGGGGAGGGCAAGGCUGGUGCCAGCCGCCGCGGUAAAACCAGCUCCCCGAGUGGUCGGGAUUUUUAUUGGGCCUAAAGCGUCCGUAGCCGGGCGUGCAAGUCAUUGGUUAAAUAUCGGGUCUUAAGCCCGAACCUGCUAGUGAUACUACACACCUUGGGACCGGAAGAGGCAAAUGGUACGUUGAGGGUAGGGGUGAAAUCCUGUAAUCCCCAACGGACCACCGGUGGCGAAGCUUGUUCAGUCAUGAACAACUCUACACAAGGCGAUUUGCUGGGACGGAUCCGACGGUGAGGGACGAAACCCAGGGGAGCGAGCGGGAUUAGAUACCCCGGUAGUCCUGGGCGUAAACGAUGCGAACUAGGUGUUGGCGGAGCCACGAGCUCUG
Molecule: ribosomal RNA, 800 nt
Filed under: uncultured archaeon
Lineage: Archaea
Description: bacterial SSU rRNA
Rfam family: Archaeal small subunit ribosomal RNA
Source: RNAcentral